Molecule: non-coding RNA, 614 nt
Organism: Rattus norvegicus (Norway rat)
Lineage: Eukaryota; Metazoa; Chordata; Mammalia; Rodentia; Muridae
Source: RefSeq, a predicted model, not a curated record
CAGCGAGAACACAGAGAAACAGCUUCUCUUGGAGCUAAGGGUUUGAAGGAGGGGUGACAGGCAGGAACAGGAGCAAUGGGCACACUUUCAGAGAGCUAAGGGAACCGUUGCCAAAACUCAACAUAAAACUGUAUGGACGUCUCAGGUCUCCAUUCCUUCCUUUGCAAAGAUACCUGACUGCUGGGGUACUAAUCAAGAUUCUCAACGCCACCACUCCCGAGCCUCAGGGUUGCACAUGCCAUGGAGACUUUUGAUUUUAGGAAAGUUUGUUGCUUUGGGACAAUCUCAGCUGUCUCACAAGAAGUUAAUUACUGGGUUUCCUGACUGCUUACUGCCCUGGUGUGUGUGUGUGUGUGUGUGUGUGUGUGUGUGUGUGUGUGUGUGUGUGUGUGUGUGUGUGUGUUAGUCCCACCUAAAGGUAAAGGAAUAUUCUAGAUUCCCCGAUGCUCUUUGCAACCCCAGGGUUCCCUGGCAACGCAUCCUCUGCUGUCCUCAGGACUAGGAGAAAAAAGUAUAUUGUGCUUGAGAUGGAAACUCUUGGCCCAAGGUGCUGCAAUGAGGCUCGACUCAGAAGAGUACCAAACACAGGAAGGGAGGGGGUUUACAAGGCAACA